CCUACGGGAGGCAGCAGUGGGGAAUUUUGGACAAUGGGCGAAAGCCUGAUCCAGCAAUGCCGCGUGUGGGAAGAAGGCCUUCGGGUUGUAAACCACUUUUGUACGGAACGAAACGGUUCGCUUUAAUACAGUGGGCUAAUGACGGUACCGUAAGAAUAAGCACCGGCUAACUACGUGCCAGCAGCCGCGGUAAUACGUAGGGUGCGAGCGUUAAUCGGAAUUACUGGGCGUAAAGCGUGCGCAGGCGGUCAUAUAAGACAGUUGUGAAAUCCCCGGGCUCAACCUGGGAAUUGCAUCUGUGACUGUAUAGCUAGAGUACGGUAGAGGGGGAUGGAAUUCCGCGUGUAGCAGUGAAAUGCGUAGAUAUGCGGAGGAACACCGAUGGCGAAGGCAAUCCCCUGGACCUGUACUGACGCUCAUGCACGAAAGCGUGGGGAGCAAACAGGAUUAGAUACCCUGGUAGUCCACGCCCUAAACGAUGUCAACUGUUGUUGGGUGCAUUAGUACUCAGUAACGAAGCUAACGCGUGAAGUUGACCGCCUGGGGAGUACGGCCGCAAGGUUGAAACUUNAAAGGAAAUUGACGGGCGNGNGACGNGCGACGGACGACGACGAGGGAGGAGG
RNAcentral lists this ribosomal RNA (623 nucleotides) under uncultured bacterium. RNAcentral describes it as "bacterial SSU rRNA". It matches the Rfam family "Bacterial small subunit ribosomal RNA", at positions 338 to 954 of the family's 1533-position model. The record is from RNAcentral.